RNAcentral lists this unclassified non-coding RNA (312 nucleotides) under Herpotrichiellaceae sp. RNAcentral describes it as "partial contains 5.8S ribosomal RNA, internal transcribed spacer 2, and large subunit ribosomal RNA". The stretch from base 1 to 71 matches the Rfam family "5.8S ribosomal RNA", at positions 84 to 154 of the family's 154-position model. The record is from RNAcentral. Lineage: Eukaryota; Fungi; Ascomycota; Eurotiomycetes; Chaetothyriales; Herpotrichiellaceae.
GUGAAUCAUCGAAUCUUUGAACGCAUAUUGCGCCCUUUGGUAUUCCGAAGGGCAUGCCUGUUCGAGCGUCAUUAUCACCCCUCAAGCCCCCGGGCUUUGGUGUUGGACGGUUUGGUCUUGGGUUUGACGAGACCCCUCCUAAAAUCAACGACGGCGGCCUGUGCGACCCCCGGUACACUGAGCUUCUUAACUGAGCACGUAUCGGCCUAGACAGGACCCGGUCUUCUUCCUUAACCGGAAAAUCUCUCUCAAGGUUGACCUCGGAUCAGGUAGGGAUACCCGCUGAACUUAAGCAUAUCAAUAAGCGGAGGA